GUGCUCACGUAAGCAGCACAUAUACUAAAAUUGGACCAAUACAGAGAAGAUUAACAUAGUCACUGUGCAAGGAUGACACCCAAAUUUGUAAGGCAUCCCAUGUGAAG
Aotus nancymaae (Ma's night monkey) is the source of this 107-nucleotide small nuclear RNA. NCBI's taxonomy places the organism in Eukaryota, Metazoa, Chordata, Mammalia, Primates, Aotidae. The record is from Ensembl.